AUGAUACUAUUAACCUUUCCUUUUUCCUUCAGGUUCCAUACAUUCUCAGCUCCCCAAUCUAGAAAAUGCGAACCUUGCAUCCUUGUUGAAGUUAAGACAGUCGUACAGCAGGAAUCCUCUUUCCUAGUGAGUUACAUGCAGGGUACCAGGCCUCCCUUUGUCAUGUGCUCUCAUCCUGCCUGUUGCCAACUCAUAGCAUCUGCUGAAAUGCAGUGGUCCACCUUCAGUGAGCCCUUCAUCACAGAAUGGCUGAGGUUGGACAGGUCCUCAGGAGGCCAUUUUGUCCAAAACGUCUGCCUUCAAUUCAAACCCUGAUAGGAAUGUCUUCAACCUGCUUUCGUACUGCCCUGAGAUAAAGAGAAAUGGAUGUCUCUCUUCUGAUGCUUCUUCUGAAAGCUUUGCAUGGAAAGAUCUUGAUGUAGGCAACGCAGCUUGACUGUUACUUAGCAGGUCAUCUUCUGUUCUGCAGUGUGGUGCUGAGGGAUGAUCUCUGCAUCUUUUCAAAGCAUCUGUUUUGUAUGGCAGUCCUCAGAGCAUCCCGGAGAGCUGAGUGCUUACUUUCCAAGCAUGCCGCUCUCGUGAAUUGCAAGUCAUGUUGCACUGUUAUUUUUAGGGUAUGUACCUUAAUUUCGUAGUUCUGCUUAACUCUUCUAGCUUUUCAAAGGUGGACAAAACAUAGCUUGUUAGCCUGGAUUUUGAGCUUAAUCACAGGUAAAAUUCUGAAACUGUUGAACAAAUGCACAAUGUCUUUUGUGUCCAGUGCAAAUCUUUCAUAGUCAAGGGAUCUGAAGUCACAGGCUGUGAAAUUAUGUAAUCACAGAUGCUGAGCUAUUAAGAUUCUGUUUCCUUAUAUAGAUCACAACUGCCUUAAUAAUGCAACUCCCAGACGUAAAUUAUACAGCUCCCUUCAAAUAAUCAACUUAGUUGAUCAGGUGUGGAGAAAGUAAGUAAGAUACAAUCUUACUUGAAAUUAUGAAUAUAUAAGGUCCAAGAAAUCAAACAUGAACCUAAACCUAGUUUGUUGUCUAACAAAAGUAAUUAACCAAUUCUUUUAAUACACAUUAACUCCUGUUUAACAAAUUUAACAUGGGUGAACAUGUAGGACAGAUGAAAAAAGAUAAAUAUGUCUGCAAUGAUAAGACAUUCCAGUUCAAAACAAAACAAAAUACAAGUGCAGACUGCAGACUCUUUGUGCACCACGAUGUCUGGAUAUUAAUAGAAUUCAGAGAAAAGAAGGCAAACUCAAUUUGCUAAGAUGCAGAGAAUAGAUGUAUUCAACUUCCUAUUAAGUAAUUGCAUAAGGCAUUUUUUAUUUUAAUGCUUGCUCUGAAUUUCUCUCUUGUUUUUCCUCUUUUUCCAUUAGAUAUUUACUGUCUUAAAUGUUUCUUAGUGCCUUCAUCAAUGUUGCGUUUAUUUCUAGCUCAAUUAAGAAGUGAUUGUAAUAGUAACUUGUAAUGACUUGCUUAAGGCAGUGCUGAAUUUGAAGGACUUUUAUGUGACAGAGCUGUGGUUUAAUGCGUGCAUUUAUUAAUAUUUAUUUCCGAAAAGGGACAUUUUCAUGUCUGCAUAAAUGUCUUGCAAACAGGAUCACUUGGUAAGCCUAUGAUUUUGAGUUAGUUAAAAAGAUAUUAUGUUGGUCAAAACCUAAUGCUUAAAGAUAACAAUCUCAUUUUUAUAACGUGAAUGAAAAGUAUCCUGGAAAGACAGCUUGUCAUAAUAAAUCAUGUUGGUCACUGUGUUCUUGUGUCUUC
Molecule: long non-coding RNA, 1751 nt
Organism: Chrysolophus pictus (golden pheasant)
Lineage: Eukaryota; Metazoa; Chordata; Aves; Galliformes; Phasianidae
Source: Ensembl